This is a non-coding RNA of Meleagris gallopavo (turkey), 1968 nucleotides long. NCBI's taxonomy places the organism in Eukaryota, Metazoa, Chordata, Aves, Galliformes, Phasianidae. The record is from RefSeq and is a predicted model, not a curated record.
ACCUCACUGUUAGGCAGACAAGAAACUCAACUCCACCCCGGUGUCAGCAGGAAUUUACAGCUCUGGCAUUGCGGGGAUCCUUCCAAAGGAGCAGCGUGGCUCAGGCAGAGCCCGGCGCAGCGCUUGAACCCGGGGCUGCAGCACCGCGGAGAGCUCCGCACCCCUCCGGGGGCGGCCGGUGCUGCUGCGUCCCAAAUCACUGCUCCCAACCGAGGAAGGAGGGGAACCCACAGAAGGGGUGCUCCCAGAGGUGGUCAGAAGUGGGAGCUGAGCUGCAGAAACCCCCAGGAAGAUGACAGACCAGUACCUGUCCCCAUUGCAUUGGUCUGCUCCCAUAGGUGGUCAGAUGUAGGAGCUGAGCUGCAGAAGCCCCCAGGAAGGUGACAGAUCCAUACCUGUCCCCAUUGCAUUGCUCAGCACCAACUGCUCAGGCUGCAGGUAGCAAACAAGGGACAUUCCUGCCCAAUUCCUGCAGCAGAGUGUCUAUAGGGAGGAAGGGGUCAAGGUUGGCAAACACUGCUGUGAAAUGCUGGAGAUUGGAAGUUUCCUCCUGUUGGUUGUGGAGAAUUGUGCCAUCUCAGUGCUGAAUUCUGGUGCUCAAUUUCUUGGAGGGAGAAAUAGGAACAAAAUAACUUUUCUGAGCCAUCUGCAAAAGAAACACAUCUUCAAGUUGAAAUAUCGGGUGAAUGUACUGUUAUUGAAUUCUGGAAAUAUCCAUCAGCCAAAACUGUGCAGGCUGUUUGCAUGUCACAAUCUGAAUCAAUCCCUUCUUCACUCUCAGCAUGAACAUCCAAGGUUUCACUCAGACUCUUGACAAAUAUUUUUGGACAGAUACAAUGUGAAUACAAAGGAAUUUGACUAAACGACUGGUCUGCACAUGGGUUUAAUUGACAAUAGUAGAAGCAAGAACCACCAAAUGGUCCCAAAGGCAAACUCUGUGUGUGAGGAAUCAGCACCCAAUGGAUCACUGUUGUUUUGCCACAAUGCCCUUCAAGUUCAGAGGUGAGUGCUGGCUGUCCCAGCGAGCCCGGCUAUUUACAUCGCUUUGCUCUGAUGGUAGCGGCUGCGGGAGGAGAUGUCAGAGCCCAGUGUACCUCAGGGUGCUUGGGAGCUGCCUGCUUUAAGCACCAUUAACGUUGAUUAAACCUGCUUCAAGCAGCCGUGAGUGCAACGCCCCUCUAAAGCGAGACCCGAGUGAAGGAAACGAAGCCGUCAACGCAGGUUUUUCUUUUAUAAUGAGCGUUGCUGAAAUGUAUUGGUGGAAAUGCAGCCCUGUCUCUGCUUCCAUCCCGUUCUCCCCCUCUGCACAUCGGUGCCUUUCAGUGGGAAGCAGAUCUGAAGGCUCAGUGCUGCCAGAAGCUCCGUAUAUCCGAUCCCUGUGGCCAUGCUCGUGUCUGUCUGUCCCUGCAGUUUCCUCACCUCAUUCCCUUUCACUUUUGAUAUUCUCACCCCGUUUUGGGAGCGCAGCCCCUGGGUGGGACCCAGCGAUGGUUCAAGGGCUGCGUGAAAGCAAAUUGAGGUUGGAGGUGAAUUUUGGUAAAAUGAAGCCCUUGGAGCCUCCGAUAAAUGGUCCCUGCAAGGGAUCCAGGUGGGAUCUGAGUUUCCUCCGGCCACAGCAGCACCCCAAAUCCCCUCACUGCCACCGUAUUAACGGGAUGACAAUGCAGUAAAUCCUUUCGUUUGGAUGUUUUUGUUUCUUUAUGAGACUGAAGAGAGACAGCACCGAGGUUUUCUUCCCCUUCUCUGUGAAAAACAAACCAAAGCGAAAUGAAACAGAACACCUCGGUCCCAGCAUUUCUGCAGCACCGAUUUCCACCUAUUUUUCUUCAUCAGGCUGUGCCCCUCCUGUAGUCGAGCAGAGAGGUUUUCUUCCUUACAAAAGGAAUCGGGCAUACGGUCAAUGAUAGGAAAUGGAAAAAAGAAAGUGAAGGGGAAUGGAAUGGAAUGAAAUGGGAUGGAAUGGAAUGG